Molecule: long non-coding RNA, 4021 nt
Filed under: Sus scrofa (pig)
Lineage: Eukaryota; Metazoa; Chordata; Mammalia; Artiodactyla; Suidae
Description: lncRNA (ENSSSCG00030001637.1)
Source: RNAcentral
UGCACCCACAGCAUAGGGAGGUUCCCAGCUGGGGGUCUAAUCAGAGCUAUAGCUGCUGACCUACACCAUAGCUCAUGGCAACUGGAUCCUGAACACACUGAGCAAGAUCAGAGAUUGAACCCACAACCUCAUGAUUUUGAUGGGAGGACAGAUUCUGAGUGGGAUGGAAAGAGAUACAGUUCACACGUUGGGCUCUAACAUAAAACUGAAGACCGUGGCUUGAUUAGCUAUUUCUUGCCAAUAAUAUGAUCCAAGCCCUUUUGGAUCAUAUUAUUCUAGUCUGUGUGUGCUUAAGUAAUUUAUAUUCAGAGAGAUCUAUAUUUGAAUCUCAGCUUCACUACUUACAAAAUGUGACCGUGACACUGUCCCUAACCUCUCUGAGCUCAAAUAUGGUACUGGCAUAAACAUACACAUAGAUCAAUGGAACAAAAUUGAGAACCCAAAAAUAAACCCAAGUGUACAUGGUCAACCAAUACUUGGCAAAGGAGUCAAGAAUACUCAGAGGAAAAGGUAGUUUCUUUAAUAAUGAAACUGGACCCCUAUCUUACACUGCUCACAAAAAUUACUUUGAAAUGGAUUAAGACUUAAAUGCAAUACUUGAAACUAAAAAAGUCCUAGAAGGAAACAUGGGGGUAAGCUUCUUGACAUUGGUUUUGAUGCAUCAUUUUUUGGAUUUGACACCAAAAGCGCAAGCAACCAAAACAAACAAGUGGAACCAUAUCAAACUAAAAAGCUUCUGCACAGCAAAAGAAAUAAUAAAAUGAAAAGUCAGUGUGCAGAAUGGUAGAAAUAUUUGCAAACCAUAUAUCUGAUAAGGAUUAAGGAUCUGGCGCUGCCACAGCUGCAGCGCAGGUUGUAGCUGUGGCUCAGAUCUGAUCACUGGCCUGGGAACUUCCAUAUGCUGUGGAUGUGACCAAAAAAAAAAAAAAGACAAGCGAUAACAAGUGCUAGCAAGGAUGUGGUGGAAAGGAAGCCUUGUAUACUGUUGGCGGGAGUGUAGCCACUAUGGGAAGGAAUACAAAGUUUCCUCAAAAAAAUUAAAAGAACUAUCAUAGAAUCCAGUAAUUCCACUUUGGGGUAUAUAUCCAAAGGAAAUGAAAUCCCUCUCUCAAAGAGAUAGCUGUACUCCAUGGUCAAAGCAGCGUUAUUCAUAAUAACCAAAGUCUGGAAACAACCCAAGUGUCUGUCAAUGGAUGAAUGAAUAAAGCAAUGUGAGAUAGAUAGAAAGAAAAAAUGGAAUAUUAUUCAGCCAUAAAAAAGGAAGAAAAUCUUGCCAUUUGCAACAACAUGGAUGAACUUUGAGGGUAUUAUGCUGAGUGAAGUAAGUCAGAAAAAUAUAAAUACUGUAUGAUCUCACUUAUAUGUGAAACCUAAAAAUGAACUCAUAGAGAGUUCCCACUGUGGCUUGGUAGUAACAAAGCCAACUAACAUCCAUGAGGGCUCUGGUUCGAUCCCUGGACUUGCUUAGAGAGUUAAGGAUAGGGUGUUGCCAUGAGCUAUGGUGUAGGUCGAAGAAGUGGCUCCGAUCCAGAGUUGCUGUGGCUGUGGUGUAGGCCAGCAGCUGCAGCUCUGAUUCAACCCCUAGCCUGCGAACUUCUACAUGCCAUGGGUGCUCUAAAAAGACAAAAAAAAAAAUUAAUUAAAAAAAAAACCUCAUAGAAACAAAGAGUAGAUUGGUGGUUGCUGGCAGUUGAGGCGGGUAAGCUGGAUGGAUGAAGGUGAUCAAAGGAUACAAGCUUCAGUUUUGAAAUGAAUGAUUUCUGGGGAUCUAAAGUAUAGCAGGGUGACAACCGUUAACAGUACUGUGUUGUAUACUUGAAAGUUGCUAAGAGUAAAUCUUUACAGUUCUACACACACACACACACACACACACACACACACACACAAAGACAAAAGGUAUCUGUGAGGUGAUGGAUGCUUAACCUUAUGGUGAUAAUCAUUUUGAAAUAUACAUAUAGAUCAAAUUAUCACAACAUACACCUUAAACUUAUACAACAUUAUAGGUCAAUUAUAUCACAAUAAAAAUGGGGGAAAAAAGUCAAGUAAAUAUGAAAAAGGGAAAAAAAAGGAAGCAGAAAUAAUAAUAAGGCAGGAGAGCAGGAGGUCUGUUCCCUAUGCCUGCACCUUUUCUGGGACAAGGGGGCAGAAGCCACAGCACCAGCCCUUCCUCUUCUCUGCCUCAACACAGAUAAGUAUUAGAAUUUAUCUCCUCUAGGAGACCAACGAAUUGCCGCCUCCAGCAGGAACUAGAUUCGCCACUAAUCUCUGAGCCUGUACAUUUUUAUAACUAUUCUGAACAAAUCAUUGAAUUAAUUUCCUUUUUAUUUCCUUAUGAGAAAACUAAAUUACUAAUAUUGCGAAAAUGUUCUCCCUCACUGGAAAAUUCCCCUGAUGCUAGUGUUUGGGUUUAUAUGACUCCAUUUGGAGUUGGUUUUAGGAGACAUGAUUUUUUCAAAGGAACUAUUCAGUACUAAAUUUGGUCUAAGCAUUCUACUCUCUGUAGGCCAAUACAAGCGUGUUUUCUUUCAUUCCUGAGUUCUUCCUCUCCUCUUUUAUUCACCCUCUGCUUCUUUCUGUUCAACACUUUUCAUCUUAAAAAAAAAAAUGUUUGCAGGAGUUCCCUGGUGGCCUAGAGAUUAGGGAUCCAGCAGCAUUGUCACUGCUUGGCUCUGGUACAACCCUGGCCAGGGAACUUUUAUAUGCGGUGGGCGCAGCCAACCCCCCCCGCCCCCGGCCCCAAAACAAUCAGUCAAACAAAAAAUCUUUAAAAAAUGUUAAAAGAAAGUCUUCCAAAUAGGACCCUGGGACUCAGAUGGGUUAUUUGGAGUUUACUCCCAGCAUCAUACAGAAAGCCCACUUUUACAAACAGCCUCUGGCUUUACAGUCUUCACUGAGCACAGGUUCCAGGAGACCCAGCUUGAAAACAUUUACAAGCAUCUCACGCCCCCGCCUCCACCCCCGUCCUGGUCUGGUGGGGCUGCCAUAACACAACACCACAGACCGUGUGGCUUAAACAACAGGAGUUUAUGUUCUCAGAGUUCUGGAGACCAGGCAGGACAAGAUCAAGGUGCCAGUUUCUGCUGGGAGCUCUCUCCUGGCUUGCAGAUGGCUGCCUUCGUGCUGAGAUCUCCCACAGGGAGGAGGGAAAGAGAGCCAGUUCUCUGCUAUUGCUUCUGACCAGGACACUCAUCCUCUUGGAAGUCUCACUUAUGAGCUCACUUAACCUUCAUGGCUUCCUCAGGCCAAAUGUAGUCACAGUGGGGAUUAGGGCAUCAACACAUGAUUUGGGGGGGGGGGCGCAAUUCUGCCUACAGCACCUCCCCCCAAAAUUAUUAAGUUCAGAUGGAGAAAAACCCACAACAUCUAGUUGUAUAACAAAUAUACGUAUCAUAUGAGUCUUAAGUUUGUACUGAACACCUAUUAUGUGCCCUGCACUUUGCUAGGUAGGUGAAAUAGGAAACAGGCUAGUUAUGGUUGACAGACCUGACUUCUUCCUGCAUUGACGGACAGGUGGAUGUCUCAGAGUGGUAUGAACAGGGCUUGCAGGGGACCAGUUGGGUAUCCCUACCCUGAGGCUUCUGAUACUGGGUGUCAUGGCUAGUGGCUGUCAUCUUCGCCAUCUGGGAAUUAUUCCCAUUGCAUUUAAGACUCCUCCUCAAAACCGGAGAGAGACCACUGUGCAGCCAUCUUCCUCAUGAAGCCACACUGAGAUACGCCUGUAAAGAAUAAUGGACUUGACUAUGUUCACACCUUCCCAUUAUGUUCACAGACGGCCUUGGUUCCUCUCACAUUUUCAAAUUACGCCAGGAGAAUGAUCACCUCGCUCAGCCUCCUCAAAGCAAAACCCUUUUGCACUGGUCUACGUACAGUAGGAAAGCAAUAAAUGCCUGUUGGCUGAAACCAUUAGGCUCCCAGGCCGAACGAAGGACCGCAUCCUCAAACUGAAACUGUUUCUCCCUCCUGAUUGCUGCCCCCCCCCCACCCACCCCCCCCCCCCCGCCCACAGCCAGCCCGAGCAGAU